AGCAGCCGCGGUAAUUCCAGCUCCAAUAGCGUAUAUUAAAGUUGUUGCAGUUAAAAAGCUCGUAGUUGAAUUUCGGGAUCAAGGGAUCGGUCAUGCCUUGGUAUGUACUGGUCUUAUUGGUUCUCACCUUCUAAAGAACCAUGAUGUCAUUCAUUUGAUGUUAUGGGGAAUUAGGACUGUUACCUUGAAAAAUUAGAGUGUUUAAAGCAAGCUUACGCUUGAAUACAUUAGCAUGGAAUAAUGAAAUAGGACAUCAGAUUCUAUUUUGUUGGUUUCUAGGAUCGAUGUAAUGAUUAAUAGGGAUAGUUGGGGGCAUUAGUAUUCAAUUGUCAGAGGUGAAAUUCUUGGAUUUAUUGAAGACUAACUACUGCGAAAGCAUUUGCCAAGGAUGUUUUCAUUAAUCAAGAACGAAGUUAGGGGAUCGAAGACGAUCAGAUACCGUCGUAGUCU
This 450-nucleotide ribosomal RNA is filed under the name uncultured Glomus. Its description in RNAcentral is "SSU rRNA". It matches the Rfam family "Eukaryotic small subunit ribosomal RNA", at positions 569 to 1026 of the family's 1831-position model. The record is from RNAcentral. Lineage: Eukaryota; Fungi; Glomeromycota; Glomeromycetes; Glomerales; Glomeraceae.